GCAGGUACAUUGGGCUCUGGAUCUGAUCUAAUCAUAUCCUACUCAGGUUCAGCUAUUGGUGUCGGUCCUUCUACCUGUUGAACUUCAUCAAGUUCAACCUUAGAGGCAACGGUUCCUUCACCAAGGAACUCCUUUUCUAAAUAGAUUGCCUUAAGGCUGAUGAACACCUUUUGUUCAUCAGCAUGGUAGAAAAAAUAUCCUUUUAUCUCUUUG
This 213-nucleotide long non-coding RNA is filed under the name Elaeis guineensis (African oil palm). RNAcentral's name for it is "long non-coding RNA (EGUI_LNC079191)". Lineage: Eukaryota; Viridiplantae; Streptophyta; Magnoliopsida; Arecales; Arecaceae. The record is from RNAcentral.